AAAACCAACAGUAGCAAAAUAUUUAAUUUGAAAUUAUAAAAAUUACCCAAUAGAUAUAAACCUCAUCGCGGUUGUUAUCGAUUAUUUCUUUCAUCCAUAAAGUCUCCAAAAAUGAUACAUGUUAGUAUCCACAAAUUAUUUGACUUCAUGGGGUUGAUCUUCACUUGAGGCCAGCAGACAUAACUAUCUCAUCAUGAAUAGAUGAUUUGAACACAAGAACCUUCAUGUUAGUAGCCUUACUGAGGAAACUUUCGAGAACAUUGAAUGUCUCUUUUGUUGAUCAUUCUUAAAGGUAAAGUAAAGACUUACGGGACUACCUCAUUAUAAGGAAACCACCGAUCACUGGAGAAUUGACUUUCAGUUGAAUAACUUGACAUUUGAUCCUUUUUUAUCAUCCGUAAUUUCAUGAUAUGGAUAUGAAAUUUCCUGAUAUUUCAAGUGUCAUGGUAGUUUGAUACUGAACUCAAGUUGUAACUCUGUAGAAGUAUGAGUGAAAGAAAUGAAAGCAUUAAAAUAAAAAAUACUAUACUAUCAAAAAGAGACGAUGUACCAAUAAAAUAUAACUUUUAUUGUCAGAAAGCGUCAAAGUUAUAAAAAACACAAUGACAAAAAUCAAAAUUGAUCUCAAAAGAAUAUCUGUAUAAAUUUACAGAGAAUCUUAACCUAAUUUUUGUAUAUAUUGUAGCUCCAUAAGUUGUAUUUCAAACGGCACAAACAGAUCAUAGUUUUGACAUGUUUGCAAAAAGAUAUAAUUUUUUUAGUGAGGACGCGUAAAGGAUACCAAUAUAUGUUAAAUAAAUUCAAAAGCAUAUAUUUAUGAAUAUACAAAGAAUCUAGAUCUGUUUUUUGUAUAUAUUUGGUUCUCGAAGAGCUCUUUUCAACGGCACAAGCGAAUCAUGAUUUUGAGGCAUCUACAAAAAGAUAUAACUUUUUUAGUCAAGACGUGUUGUUUCUAAAAAUUUCAUCAUUCAUGGGUAGAAUUAUUUGAGGAAAGAAGGAUUGAGAAGAAAGAAAGUGUAAAGAAAAGAGAUGUGAC
RNAcentral lists this long non-coding RNA (1036 nucleotides) under Nicotiana benthamiana. Its description in RNAcentral is "long non-coding RNA (NBEN_LNC008406)". The record is from RNAcentral. Lineage: Eukaryota; Viridiplantae; Streptophyta; Magnoliopsida; Solanales; Solanaceae.